GAUGAACGCUGGCGGCGUGCCUAAUACAUGCAAGUCGAGCGAACGGACGAGAAGCUUGCUUCUCUGAUGUUAGCGGCGGACGGGUGAGUAACACGUGGAUAACCUACCUAUAAGACUGGGAUAACUUCGGGAAACCGGAGCUAAUACCGGAUAAUAUUUUGAACCGCAUGGUUCAAAAGUGAAAGACGGUCUUGCUGUCACUUAUAGAUGGAUCCGCGCCGCAUUAGCUAGUUGGUAAGGUAACGGCUUACCAAGGCAACGAUGCGUAGCCGACCUGAGAGGGUGAUCGGCCACACUGGAACUGAGACACGGUCCAGACUCCUACGGGAGGCAGCAGUAGGGAAUCUUCCGCAAUGGGCGAAAGCCUGACGGAGCAACGCCGCGUGAGUGAUGAAGGUCUUCGGAUCGUAAAACUCUGUUAUUAGGGAAGAACAAAUGUGUAAGUAACUAUGCACGUCUUGACGGUACCUAAUCAGAAAGCCACGGCUAACUACGUG
Molecule: ribosomal RNA, 497 nt
Filed under: uncultured bacterium
Lineage: Bacteria
Description: partial 16S ribosomal RNA
Rfam family: Bacterial small subunit ribosomal RNA
Source: RNAcentral